CUGGGAGAGCCUGCCACGCACGCGGGGGCCGGCGCGGCCCCUCCCCCUGCCGCCACGACCCCAAGGAGGGGGGCCGCGCGGGGGCGGCGCCGCGGGGUCCACGCGGCCGGGGUGGAGGUGUCUCAGGCGGGUGGACUUGGGGAAAUCCCGGCCCUCCCCAUCCCACCCUACCAGCCCGACCCGUGUUGGGCCUUGACUCAACGGGGGUUUGAAGGCGGAGGCAGAAGGAGAUUCGAGAAACCAGUUGGCUCCGCGGAGGCACGUUUAGAGAGAGUUAGCAAAGAUUUUUGGACUGCAUAAAGUCUAUUCAAGGAAACGCAUUUAUUGAGCAUCCCCCUUCCCUGGUUGACAAGACCCCCAGAGGCCAAGACGUGGGCCUGAAUGCCCUGCAAACAGGGUGUGUUCGAGGUGGGGGCCUCCUUUGCAGCUGGCUCUGGAGUGUUAGGACAUGGUCUCAGCAGUUCCCACCCCCAGAAAUUCCCAACUCCAAAUGCUGUAGCUCUGUGCAGGAGGGGAACUCUUUCUUGGAAGAUAGAUGAUAACAGCUGCCCAACCCCAAGAUACUGUCUGUCCGUCUUCCCCGGCUCCAUGUUUCUCUAGAGGAUUUGUUUUUCUCUGCUUAUGUAAUUAUUAUUGUCUGCCUCUUCUCAUUAGAGUGUAAGUUCCAUGCCUGAAAACUUCAUUGAGCUCACUCUUACAUUCCCUAGUACCUAGAACACAAUAUCUGGCACAUAGUAGGAGCUCAAUAAACAUAAU
Molecule: long non-coding RNA, 756 nt
Organism: Zalophus californianus (California sea lion)
Lineage: Eukaryota; Metazoa; Chordata; Mammalia; Carnivora; Otariidae
Exons: 3
Source: RefSeq, a predicted model, not a curated record